GUGGUUGUGGCUCAGUGGUGGAGUGCUUGCCUAGCAUGUGUGAGGCUCUGGGUUCGAUCCUCAGCACCACA
This 71-nucleotide transfer RNA is filed under the name Marmota marmota marmota (Alpine marmot). It matches the Rfam family "tRNA". Rfam says of the family: Transfer RNA (tRNA) molecules are approximately 80 nucleotides in length. Their secondary structure includes four short double-helical elements and three loops (D, anti-codon, and T loops). Further hydrogen bonds mediate the characteristic L-shaped molecular structure. tRNAs have two regions of fundamental functional importance: the anti-codon, which is responsible for specific mRNA codon recognition, and the 3' end, to which the tRNAs corresponding amino acid is attached (by aminoacyl-tRNA synthetases). tRNAs cope with the degeneracy of the genetic code in two manners: having more than one tRNA (with a specific anti-codon) for a particular amino acid; and 'wobble' base-pairing, i.e. permitting non-standard base-pairing at the 3rd anti-codon position. RNAcentral also lists the same sequence under 1 other name. Lineage: Eukaryota; Metazoa; Chordata; Mammalia; Rodentia; Sciuridae. The record is from Rfam by way of RNAcentral.